GCGGAUGUAGUUCAAUGGUAGAACUGCGGCUUCCCAAGCCGCCAGCGUGGGUUCGAUUCCCAUCAUCCGCUCCA
This 74-nucleotide transfer RNA is filed under the name Tumebacillus avium. RNAcentral's name for it is "tRNA-Gly". It matches the Rfam family "tRNA". Rfam says of the family: Transfer RNA (tRNA) molecules are approximately 80 nucleotides in length. Their secondary structure includes four short double-helical elements and three loops (D, anti-codon, and T loops). The record is from RNAcentral. Lineage: Bacteria; Bacillati; Bacillota; Bacilli; Caryophanales; Alicyclobacillaceae.